GCUGAAACUUAAAGGAAUUGACGGAAGGGCACCACCAGGAGUGGAGCCUGCGGCUUAAUUUGACUCAACACGGGAAAACUUACCAGGUCCGGACAUAAGAAGGAUUGACAGAUUGAGAGCUCUUUCAUGAUUUUAUGGGUGGUGGUGCAUGGCCGUUCUUAGUUGGUGGAGUGAUUUGUCUGGUUGAUUCCGUUAACGAACGAGACCUCAGCCUGCUAAAUAGUUAUGCUAUUCUUGAAUAGCUUAGCUUCUUAGAGGGACUUUCCGGGUC
RNAcentral lists this ribosomal RNA (271 nucleotides) under Labyrinthula sp. Its description in RNAcentral is "partial small subunit ribosomal RNA". It matches the Rfam family "Eukaryotic small subunit ribosomal RNA", at positions 1136 to 1430 of the family's 1831-position model. Lineage: Eukaryota; Bigyra; Labyrinthulida; Labyrinthulaceae. The record is from RNAcentral.